AGCAGAUCGAGGCGAGGCCGUGAGGGAGGAGAAGAGCCAUGAUGGGGGCGCAUCAGAUCAUCGCUCAACGGCAGCAGCAUGGGCGUCCUCCUCCUGCUGGUGCUCCUGCUGGAUGCGGGUGUUGUCCUCCUAGCCGUGCUCCUAGCAGUAGAGGCUCCAGUAGCAGAGGAGAAGAGGCAGGAUGCGGGCGUCAUCCUCUUGGCCGUGCUCCUACUGGGCAGCGCGCCGUGCUCCUGCUGGUGCUCGAUGACUGGAGCCUGCUGCCUGGUGGUGCUCGGCGGAUGAGCAGGGGAUCCGAUCGGGUAGGGGAUGAGGAUGAGAUGACCGAUCGGAUCAGAUGGGCAGGGGAUGAGGAUGAGUGGAUGACCGACCGGAUGAGCUGGUUUGCUCGGCGGCUGCCGGCUGGGGGUUGGGGAUUAGGUCAUUAGGGUUUGUCGAUUUGGGCGUUUGCCACUUUGGGUCUUUGGCGGAAUGAUG
RNAcentral lists this unclassified non-coding RNA (477 nucleotides) under Zea mays. RNAcentral describes it as "misc RNA Zm00001eb281320". The record is from RNAcentral. Lineage: Eukaryota; Viridiplantae; Streptophyta; Magnoliopsida; Poales; Poaceae.